Long non-coding RNA from Alosa sapidissima (American shad), 99 nucleotides. RefSeq lists it as uncharacterized. The record is from RefSeq and is a predicted model, not a curated record. NCBI's taxonomy places the organism in Eukaryota, Metazoa, Chordata, Actinopteri, Clupeiformes, Clupeidae. The transcript has 4 exons.
GUGUUGCUGCUCUGCUACUGGAAACCUCACAUGUGAGAGAAGAGUGUAGUUACACAAUAACCACCACUAGAUGGCACAGGCUUUCACUAUAGGAAGGUG